RNAcentral lists this transfer RNA (57 nucleotides) under Dipodomys ordii (Ord's kangaroo rat). It matches the Rfam family "tRNA", at positions 8 to 63 of the family's 71-position model. From Rfam's summary of the family: Transfer RNA (tRNA) molecules are approximately 80 nucleotides in length. Their secondary structure includes four short double-helical elements and three loops (D, anti-codon, and T loops). Lineage: Eukaryota; Metazoa; Chordata; Mammalia; Rodentia; Heteromyidae. The record is from Rfam by way of RNAcentral.
UGGCUCAAUGGUAGAGUGCUUGCCUUGUAUGCAUGAGACCUUGGGUUCAAUUCCUCA